Molecule: ribosomal RNA, 468 nt
Filed under: uncultured bacterium
Lineage: Bacteria
Description: partial 16S ribosomal RNA
Rfam family: Bacterial small subunit ribosomal RNA
Source: RNAcentral
GACGAACGCUGGCGGCGUGCUUAACACAUGCAAGUCGAACGGAAAGGCCCUGCUUUUGUGGGGUGCUCGAGUGGCGAACGGGUGAGUAACACGUGAGUAACCUGCCCUUGACUCUGGGAUAACUUCAGGAAACUGGGGCUAAUACCGGAUAGGAGCUCCUGCUGCAUGGUGGGGGUUGGAAAGUUUCGGCGGUUGGGGAUGGACUCGCGGCUUAUCAGCUUGUUGGUGGGGUAGUGGCUUACCAAGGCUUUGACGGGUAGCCGGCCUGAGAGGGUGACCGGCCACCUUGGGACUGAGAUACGGCCCAGACUGCUACGGGAGGCAGCAGUGGGGAAUAUUGCACAAUGGGCGGAAGCCUGAUGCAGCAACGCCGCGUGCGGGAUGACGGCCUUCGGGUUGUAAACCGCUUUCGCCUGUGACGAAGCGUGAGUGACGGUAAUGGGUAAAGAAGCACCGGCUAACUACGUG